CACCGCCCGUCACACCCUGGGAAUUGGUUUCGCCCGAAGCAUCGGACCAAUGAUCACCCAUGACUUCUGUGUACCACUAGUGCCACAAAGGCUUUUGGUGGUCUUAUUGGCGCAUACCACGGUGGGGUCUUCGACUGGGGUGAAGUCGUAACAAGGUAGCCGUAGGGGAACCUGUGGCUG
Gossypium arboreum is the source of this 180-nucleotide non-coding RNA. Lineage: Eukaryota; Viridiplantae; Streptophyta; Magnoliopsida; Malvales; Malvaceae. The record is from Rfam.